GAGUAACACGUGGGCAAUCUGCCCUUCACUCUGGGACAAGCCCUGGAAACGGGGUCUAAUACCGGAUAACACUCUGUCCCGCAUGGGACGGGGUUGAAAGCUCCGGCGGUGAAGGAUGAGCCCGCGGCCUAUCAGCUUGUUGGUGGGGUAAUGGCCUACCAAGGCGACGACGGGUAGCCGGCCUGAGAGGGCGACCGGCCACACUGGGACUGAGACACGGCCCAGACUCCUACGGGAGGCAGCAGUGGGGAAUAUUGCACAAUGGGCGAAAGCCUGAUGCAGCGACGCCGCGUGAGGGAUGACGGCCUUCGGGUUGUAAACCUCUUUCAGCAGGGAAGAAGCGAAAGUGACGGUACCUGCAGAAGAAGCGCCGGCUAACUACGUGCCAGCAGCCGCGGUAAUACGUAGGGCGCAAGCGUUGUCCGGAAUUAUUGGGCGUAAAGAGCUCGUAGGCGGCUUGUCACGUCGGAUGUGAAAGCCCGGGGCUUAACCCCGGGUCUGCAUUCGAUACGGGCUAGCUAGAGUGUGGUAGGGGAGAUCGGAAUUCCUGGUGUAGCGGUGAAAUGCGCAGAUAUCAGGAGGAACACCGGUGGCGAAGGCGGAUCUCUGGGCCAUUACUGACGCUGAGGAGCGAAAGCGUGGGGAGCGAACAGGAUUAGAUACCCUGGUAGUCCACGCCGUAAACGUUGGGAACUAGGUGUUGGCGACAUUCCACGUCGUCGGUGCCGCAGCUAACGCAUUAAGUUCCCCGCCUGGGGAGUACGGCCGCAAGGCUAAAACUCAAAGGAAUUGACCGGGGGCCCGCACAAGCAGCGGAGCAUGUGGCUUANUUCGACGCAACGCGAAGAACCUUACCAAGGCUUGGACAUNAUANCGGAAANCAUCAGAGAUGGUGCCCCCCUUGUGGUCGGUAUACAGGUGGUGCAUGGCUGUCGUCAGCUCGUGUCGUGAGAUGUUGGGUUAAGUCCCGCAACGAGCGCAACCCUUGUUCUGUGUUGCCAGCAUGCCCUUCGGGGUGAUGGGGACUCACAGGAGACUGCCGGGGUCAACUCGGAGGAAGGUGGGGACGACGUCAAGUCAUCAUGCCCCUUAUGUCUUGGGCUGCACACGUGCUACAAUGGCCGGUACAAUGAGCUGCGAUGCCGCGAGGCGGAGCGAAUCUCAAAAAGCCGGUCUCAGUUCGGAUUGGGGUCUGCAACUCGACCCCAUGAAGUCGGAGUUGCUAGUAAUCGCAGAUCAGCAUUGCUGCGGUGAAUACGUUCCCGGGCCUUGUACACACCGCCCGUCACGUCACGAAAGUCGGUAACACCCGAAGC
This 1316-nucleotide ribosomal RNA is filed under the name Streptomyces sindenensis. Its description in RNAcentral is "bacterial SSU rRNA". It matches the Rfam family "Bacterial small subunit ribosomal RNA", at positions 108 to 1427 of the family's 1533-position model. Lineage: Bacteria; Bacillati; Actinomycetota; Actinomycetes; Kitasatosporales; Streptomycetaceae. The record is from RNAcentral.